GACGAACGCUGGCGGCGUGCUUAACACAUGCAAGUCGAACGGAAAGGCCCUGCUUUUGUGGGGUGCUCGAGUGGCGAACGGGUGAGUAACACGUGAGUAACCUGCCCUUGACUUUGGGAUAACUUCAGGAAACUGGGGCUAAUACCGGAUAGGAGCUCCUGCUGCAUGGUGGGGGUUGGAAAGUUUCGGCGGUUGGGGAUGGACUCGCGGCUUAUCAGCUUGUUGGUGGGGUAGUGGCUUACCAAGGCUUUGACGGGUAGCCGGCCUGAGAGGGUGACCGGCCACAUUGGGACUGGGAUACGGCCCAGACUCCUACGGGAGGCAGCAGUGGGGAAUAUUGCACAAUGGGCGGAAGCCUGAUGCAGCAACGCCGCGUGCGGGAUGACGGCCUUAGGGUUGUAAACCGCUUUCGCCUGUGACGAAGCGUGAGUGACGGUAAUGGGUAAAGAAGCACCGGCUAACUACGUG
RNAcentral lists this ribosomal RNA (468 nucleotides) under uncultured bacterium. RNAcentral's name for it is "partial 16S ribosomal RNA". It matches the Rfam family "Bacterial small subunit ribosomal RNA", at positions 28 to 507 of the family's 1533-position model. The record is from RNAcentral.